AGUGAACGCUGGCGGUAGGCCUAACACAUGCAAGUCGAACGGCAGCACAGUAAGAGCUUGCUCUUACGGGUGGCGAGUGGCGGACGGGUGAGGAAUACAUCGGACUCUACUUUUUCGUGGGGGUUAACGUAGGGAAACUUACGCUAAUACCGCAUACGACCCACGGGUGAAAGCAGGGGAUCUUCGGACCUUGCGCGAUUGAAUGAGCCGAUGUGGGAUUAGCUAGUUGGCGGGUUAAAGGCCCACCCAGGCGACGAUCCGUAGCUGGACUGAGAGGAUGAUCGGCCACCUUAGAAGUGAGACACGGUCCAGACUCCUGCGAGAGGCAGCAGUGGGGAAUAUUGGGCAAUGGGGGCAAGCCUGGUCCAGCGAGACCGAGUGGGUGAAGGAGGCGUUCGGGUUGUGAAGCCGUUUUGUGGGGAAAGAAAAGCAGCAGGUUGAUACCCCGCUGUUGUGACGGUACCCAAAGAAGAAGCACCGGCUAACUUCGUG
Molecule: ribosomal RNA, 492 nt
Filed under: uncultured bacterium
Lineage: Bacteria
Description: partial 16S ribosomal RNA
Rfam family: Bacterial small subunit ribosomal RNA
Source: RNAcentral